GACGUAGGGCGCGAGCGUUGUCCGGAUUUAUUGGGCGUAAAGAGCUCGUAGGCGGCUUGUCGCGUCGACCGUGAAACCUCACAGCUCAACUGUGAGCCUGCGGUCGAUACGGGCAGGCUAGAGUUCGGUAGGGGAGACUGGAAUUCCUGGUGUAGCGGUGAAAUGCGCAGAUAUCAGGAGGAACACCGGUGGCGAAGGCGGGUCUCUGGGCCGAUACCGACGCUGAGGAGCGAAAGCGUGGGGAGCGAACAGG
Molecule: ribosomal RNA, 253 nt
Filed under: uncultured bacterium
Lineage: Bacteria
Description: partial 16S ribosomal RNA
Rfam family: Bacterial small subunit ribosomal RNA
Source: RNAcentral